UUGGCCUCUUGCAACAAGUUUCGCGGACACGGCCACGCAACGUGCCGUUUCAACUUUAUCACCUGUAAGCAUCCAUAUCUUCACACCUGCGUUACGAAGGAGUUCGAGAGACGGUUUGACGUCCUUCUGGAGCUUGUCCUCAACGCCGGUGACGCCCAGAAGUUCGAGAUUCUGCUCCAGAUAUUGUUGGGCAACUCGUGCCAUUUCGGUGUCUCUGUUGUGUAGGGACAGUGAAGCCUGUUUGUAGCUGGUUGAAAAGUCUCUGUACUGCGCUUGAGAGAGUUUUUUCCUGCCAAUGACCAGAGUACGAAGUCCUUCUCUUCCCAUGUUUGCGGUCUCCUCAUCGAGCCAGUCAUUAGCGGCAACAAUAGAAGACAUGACGGUGUCAGCACCUUUUUGAUAAAACCAAAUCUCCUCAUCCUGCGCUGUUGAUUUGUCCAAAUCGGAACCUUGUUCGAAUAGAACGAUAAUGCCCAUGCGCUUGCUAUCAGAAGUAAAAGGGAAUACAUCCAGAAUCCGAACACGCACAACAACGUUGCCAGUGUUUACUGACUUGAGAACAAUCCUUUGCCUAUCUCUGUGUACUAACUGGAGUCCCACUUCCUGUGUAUAUUUCACAAUCGCAAUCUCAUCAGGGGACGAAGCCUGAGCGCGAGAGCCAGGAUUAUAUCUCGGACGCGAGAUCCAAUCUCUCGUCGAGUCCGUGUCGUUGAAGCCAAACCAGUGUGAACACCAUUUAUAGUUGUCGGGGUUACGAGCGAUGAUUGGUCAGAGGGGGCUGUAGAGAAGCCUUGCAGAAGAUAAGACGCCACUUCAUCCAUCGCCUCAUUCGCGUAAGAAACCGUUCCGACAUGGAUUUUCUUGAGUUCCAUUUCUAAAAGCGCUGUUAGCUCGGGAUUACUAUUGCAACACUCACAUCAUAUUGCUUACCGUUCUGGGUCAGGGUCCCGGUUUUAUCAGAGAGCAAAUACUCUAUCCUUCCCAGGUCCUCUGGAAUGGUGCUGGUUCUGACAACAGUGCCUGGAAUACCAGCAUCUCGCUCAAUAAACCUCCCAUACACAGACUUCGCCAUGUCCAGGUUAACGCGUAAACUCAUAGGAAUAAUGGUGGAAAAGAGGAUAAGAUAUAUCAUGAUGGCAAUAUACCAUGGCUUAUCGUUCGUACCCUCAAAACCUUGCAGAGCAACAAGAAUUGCGGAGAGGGAUAAGGUUAAAACACACAGAAUUUUCGUCAGGCUAUUGAUUUCGUAUUCGAGCAAUCCGACCUUCGAACGAGACGGUGAUGUCGACAUCGCUGAUCGAGUUUGAGCCCCGGUGUAAAUUACUGCGGCGAUUGUUAUUGUGUUUGACGCAAGAACUGUACUGGCCCAAGCAGUGUUGUCGAUUGUAAGAGGAGCCGACUGUCGCUCGGAGAGACUUUGAGGAUGACCGUCGGUCGAUUGCGGAUUGGUUGCGGAAUGAGCUGUUGCAUCUGUUUUGCUGAUAUGAGGGUCGUAAGAACUAUGAGUAUGGGGUGCUAGAGAAAUAGUUCCAACAAAAUUAUGUACGCUUUUCUCAGGUUCGCCUGCGAUGAUCUGUAUCCUAUGCAGCUCAGAGAUAGGUAAAUUUUGUGUUAGAGG
Molecule: small RNA, 1618 nt
Filed under: Histoplasma capsulatum var. duboisii H88
Lineage: Eukaryota; Fungi; Ascomycota; Eurotiomycetes; Onygenales; Ajellomycetaceae
Description: Histoplasma capsulatum H88 hypothetical RNA
Source: RNAcentral